AACUGAUACUACCUGCGGGAACCUGCGGAAGGAUCAUUACCGAGUUAUCAACUCCCAAACCCCUGUGAACAUACCCGAACGUUGCCUCGGCGGGACCGCCCCGGCGCCCCUAGCGGCCCGGAACCAGGCGCCCGCCGGAGGACCCAAACUCUUGCUUUAAACAGUGGCAUACUCUCUGAGUCUCACAAACAAAAAAUAAAUCAAAACUUUCAACAACGGAUCUCUAGAUCGGAAGAGCAC
RNAcentral lists this unclassified non-coding RNA (240 nucleotides) under soil metagenome. RNAcentral describes it as "partial contains 5.8S ribosomal RNA, internal transcribed spacer 2, and large subunit ribosomal RNA". The record is from RNAcentral.